RNAcentral lists this ribosomal RNA (468 nucleotides) under uncultured bacterium. RNAcentral describes it as "partial 16S ribosomal RNA". It matches the Rfam family "Bacterial small subunit ribosomal RNA", at positions 28 to 507 of the family's 1533-position model. The record is from RNAcentral.
GACGAACGCUGGCGGCGUGCUUAACACAUGCAAGUCGAACGGAAAGGCCCUGCUUUUGUUGGGUGCUCGAGUGGCGAACGGGUGAGUAACACGUGAGUAACCUGCCCUGGACUUUGGGAUAACUUCAGGAAACUGGUGCUAAUACCGGAUAGGAGCUCCUGCUGCAUGGUGGGGGUUGGAAAGUUUCGGCGGUUGGGGAUGGACUCGGGGCUUAUCAGCUUGUUGGUGGGGUAGUGUCCUACCAAGGCUUUGACGGGUAGCCGGCCUGAGAGGGUAACCGGCCACAUUGGGACUGAGAUACGGCCCAGACGGCUACGGGAGGCAGCGGUGGAGAAUAUUGCACAAUGGGGGGAAGCCUGAUGCAGCGACGCCGCGUGCGGGAUGACGGCCUGCGGGUUGUAAACCGCUUUCGCCUGUGACGGAGCGUGAGUGACGGUAAUGGGUAAAGAAGCACCGGCUAACUACGUG